Molecule: ribosomal RNA, 229 nt
Filed under: uncultured bacterium
Lineage: Bacteria
Description: partial 16S ribosomal RNA
Rfam family: Bacterial small subunit ribosomal RNA
Source: RNAcentral
CAUGUAGGCGGUUGGUUAAGUCAGUUGUUAAAUUUCCCAGCUCAACUGGGGACCGGCAAUUGAUACUGGCUGACUAGAGGGCAAGAGAGAGAAGUGGAAUUCUCGGAGUAGCGGUAAAAUGCAUAGAUCUCGAGAGGAACACCAGUUGCGAAGGCGGCUUCUUGGCUUGUCCCUGACGCUAUAGUGCGAAAGCGUGGGGAGCAAACAGGAUUAGAUACCCUGGUAGUCC